Molecule: ribosomal RNA, 1350 nt
Filed under: bacterium NLAE-zl-G323
Lineage: Bacteria
Description: 16S ribosomal RNA
Rfam family: Bacterial small subunit ribosomal RNA
Source: RNAcentral
GUGGCGGACGGGUGAGUAACGCGUAAAGAACUUGCCUUACAGACUGGGACAACAUUUGGAAACGAAUGCUAAUACCGGAUAUUAUGACUGAGUCGCAUGAUUUGGUUAUGAAAGCUAUAUGCGCUGUGAGAGAGCUUUGCGUCCCAUUAGUUAGUUGGUGAGGUAACGGCUCACCAAGACGAUGAUGGGUAGCCGGCCUGAGAGGGUGAACGGCCACAAGGGGACUGAGACACGGCCCUUACUCCUACGGGAGGCAGCAGUGGGGAAUAUUGGACAAUGGACCAAAAGUCUGAUCCAGCAAUUCUGUGUGCACGAUGAAGUUUUUCGGAAUGUAAAGUGCUUUCAGUUGGGAAGAAGUCAGUGAACGGUACCAACAGAAGAAGCGACGGCUAAAUACGUGCCAGCAAGCCGCGGUAAAUACGUAUGUCGCCAAGCGUUAUCCCGGAUUUAUUUGGGCGUAAAGCGCGUCUAGGCGGUUUAGUAAGUCUGAUGUGAAAAUGCGGGGCUCAACCCCGUAUUGCGUUGGAAACUGCUAAACUAGAGUACUGGAGAGGUAGGCGGAACUACAAGUGUAGAGGUGAAAUUCGUAGAUAUUUGUAGGAAUGCCGAUGGGGAAGCCAGCCUACUGGACAGAUACUGACGCUAAAGCGCGAAAGCGUGGGUAGCAAACAGGAUUAGAUACCCUGGUAGUCCACGCCGUAAACGAUGAUUACUAGGUGUUGGGGGUCGAACCUCAGCGCCCAAGCUAACGCGAUAAGUAAUCCGCCUGGGGAGUACGUACGCAAGUAUGAAACUCAAAGGAAUUGACGGGGACCCGCACAAGCGGUGGAGCAUGUGGUUUAAUUCGACGCAACGCGAGGAACCUUACCAGCGUUUGACAUCCCAAGAAGUUAACAGAGAUGUUUUCGUGCCUCUUCGGAGGAACUUGGUGACAGGUGGUGCAUGGCUGUCGUCAGCUCGUGUCGUGAGAUGUUGGGUUAAGUCCCCCAACGAGCGCAACCCCCUUUCGUAUGUUACCAUCAUUAAGUUGGGGACUCAUGCGAGACUGCCUGCGAUGAGCAGGAGGAAGGUGGGGAUGACGUCAAGUCAUCAUGCCCCUUAUACGCUGGGCUACACACGUGCUACAAUGGGUAGUACAGAGAGCUGCAAACCUGCGAGGGUAAGCUAAUCUCAUAAAACUAUUCUUAGUUCGGAUUGUACUCUGCAACUCGAGUACAUGAAGUUGGAAUCGCUAGUAAUCGCAAAUCAGCUAUGUUGCGGUGAAUACGUUCUCGGGUCUUGUACACACCGCCCGUCACACCACGAGAGUUGGUUGCACCCUGAAGUAAACAGGCCUAACCGUAAGGAAGG